Molecule: transfer RNA, 93 nt
Filed under: Undibacterium sp.
Lineage: Bacteria; Pseudomonadati; Pseudomonadota; Betaproteobacteria; Burkholderiales; Oxalobacteraceae
Description: tRNA-Leu
Rfam family: tRNA
About the family: Transfer RNA (tRNA) molecules are approximately 80 nucleotides in length.
Source: RNAcentral
GCCCGAGUGGUGAAACUGGUAGACACAUCGGACUUAAAAUCCGCCGCUUUCCUUAAACGGGGCGUGCCGGUUCAAUUCCGGCCUCGGGCACCA